This 253-nucleotide ribosomal RNA is filed under the name uncultured bacterium. RNAcentral's name for it is "partial 16S ribosomal RNA". It matches the Rfam family "Bacterial small subunit ribosomal RNA", at positions 524 to 776 of the family's 1533-position model. The record is from RNAcentral.
UACGAAGGGGGCUAGCGUUGCUCGGAAUCACUGGGCGUAAAGCGCACGUAGGCGGAUUGCUAAGUCAGGGGUGAAAUCCUGGAGCUCAACUCCAGAACUGCCUUUGAUACUGGAAAGCUUGAGUUCGGGAGAGGUGAGUGGAACUGCGAGUGUAGAGGUGAAAUUCGUAGAUAUUCGCAAGAACACCAGUGGCGAAGGCGGCUCACUGGCCCGAUACUGACGCUGAGGUGCGAAAGCGUGGGGAGCAAACAGG